This 429-nucleotide ribosomal RNA is filed under the name Actinomycetes bacterium. RNAcentral's name for it is "Actinobacteria bacterium partial 16S ribosomal RNA". It matches the Rfam family "Bacterial small subunit ribosomal RNA", at positions 355 to 776 of the family's 1533-position model. The record is from RNAcentral. Lineage: Bacteria; Bacillati; Actinomycetota; Actinomycetes.
UAGGGAAUCUUCCGCAAUGGGCGAAAGCCUGACGGAGCAACGCCGCGUGAGUGAUGAAGGUCUUCGGAUCGUAAAACUCUGUUAUUAGGGAAGAACAAAUGUGUAAGUAACUAUGCACGUCUUGACGGUACCUAAUCAGAAAGCCACGGCUAACUACGUGCCAGCAGCCGCGGUAAUACGUAGGUGGCAAGCGUUAUCCUGAAUUAUUGGGCGUAAAGCGCGCGUAGGCGGUUUUUUAAGUCUGAUGUGAAAGCCCACGGCUCAACCGUGGAGGGUCAUUGGAAACUGGAAAGCUUGAGUGCAGAAGAGGAAAGUGGAAUUCCAUGUGUAGCGGUUAAAUGCGCAGCAAUAUGGAGGAACACCAGUGGCGAAGGCGACUUUCUGGUCUGUAACUGACGCUGAUGUGCGAAAGCGUGGGGAUCAAACAGG